This 592-nucleotide long non-coding RNA is filed under the name Mytilus galloprovincialis (Mediterranean mussel). Lineage: Eukaryota; Metazoa; Mollusca; Bivalvia; Mytilida; Mytilidae. The record is from RNAcentral.
GUUAAAGUUUUUGGUCAAGGUAGUUUUUGAUGAAGUUGAAGUCCAAUCAACUUGAAACUUAGUAUACAUGUGCCCUAUGAUAUGAUCUUUCUAAUUUAAAUGCCAAAUUAGAGAGUUUUGACCCCAAUUUUACGGUUCACUGAACAUAGAAAAUGAUAGUGCAAAUUUCAGGUUAAAGUUUUUGGCUUCAGGUUAAAGUUUUUGGUCAAGGUAGUUUUUGAUGAAGUUGAAAUCCAAUCAACUUGAAACUUAGUAUACAUGUGCCCUAUGAUAUGAUCUUUCUAAUUUAAAUGCCAAAUUAGAGUUUUGACCCCAAUUUUACGGUUUACUGAACAUAGAAAAUGAUAGUGCAAAUUUCAGGUUAAAGUUUUUGGUCAAGGUAGUUUUGAUGAAGUUGAAGUCCAAUCAACUUGAAACUUAGUAUACAUGUGCCCUAUGAUAUGAUCUUUCUAAUUUGAAUGCCAAAUUAGAGUUUUGACCCCAAUUUUACGGUUCACUGAACAUAGAAAAUGAUAGUGCAAAUUUCAGGUUAAAGUUUUUGGCUUCAGGUUAAAGUUUUUGGUCAAGGUAGUUUUUGAUGAAGUUGAAGUCC